This 132-nucleotide small RNA is filed under the name Salmonella enterica subsp. enterica serovar Enteritidis. RNAcentral describes it as "RtT sRNA". It matches the Rfam family "RtT RNA". Rfam says of the family: This family represents a bacterial cis-regulatory element known as RtT RNA. The exact function of RtT is unknown although it is thought that it may be involved in changing the cellular response in relation to amino acid starvation. Lineage: Bacteria; Pseudomonadati; Pseudomonadota; Gammaproteobacteria; Enterobacterales; Enterobacteriaceae. The record is from RNAcentral.
UCUCYGUACGGGAAGGGAAGGAUGAGAAGCUUCGAYUAAGGUUCGAUUCGAGCGAAAGCGAGAAAGCGUUGCCGCAGGCAACGACCCGAAGGGCGAAACGCGCAGCGCUGAGUCAUCCUUCCCCCACCACCA